This 75-nucleotide transfer RNA is filed under the name Planctomycetaceae bacterium. RNAcentral's name for it is "tRNA-Ile". It matches the Rfam family "tRNA". Rfam says of the family: Transfer RNA (tRNA) molecules are approximately 80 nucleotides in length. Their secondary structure includes four short double-helical elements and three loops (D, anti-codon, and T loops). The record is from RNAcentral. Lineage: Bacteria; Pseudomonadati; Planctomycetota; Planctomycetia; Planctomycetales; Planctomycetaceae.
GGGCGCAUAGCUCAGUUUGGUUAGAGCGCAGCCCUGAUAAGGCUGAGGUCGAUGGUUCGAAUCCAUCUGCGCCCA